Molecule: ribosomal RNA, 301 nt
Filed under: uncultured bacterium
Lineage: Bacteria
Description: partial 16S ribosomal RNA
Rfam family: Bacterial small subunit ribosomal RNA
Source: RNAcentral
CAGUAGCCGCGGUAAUACAGAGGGUGCGAGCGUUAAUCGGAUUUACUGGGCGUAAAGCGUGCGUAGGCGGCUUCUUAAGUCGGAUGUGAAAUCCCUGAGCUUAACUUAGGAAUUGCACUCGAUACUGGGAAGCUAGAGUAUGGGAGAGGAUGGUAGAAUUCCAGGUGUAGCGGUGAAAUGCGUAGAGAUCUGGAGGAAUACCGAUGGCGAAGGCAGCCAUCUGGCCUAAUACUGACGCUGAGGUACGAAAGCAUGGGGAGCAAACAGGAUUAGAUACCCCGGUAGUCCCUGUCUCUUAUAC